This is a long non-coding RNA of Mercenaria mercenaria, 2405 nucleotides long. RefSeq lists it as uncharacterized. The record is from RefSeq and is a predicted model, not a curated record. NCBI's taxonomy places the organism in Eukaryota, Metazoa, Mollusca, Bivalvia, Venerida, Veneridae. The transcript has 3 exons.
GCUAUUUUAGUCUGUCAGUUUUCAUUUAAAAUUACGAAAAAGAAGCAAAUGUGACUGACAAUAAUGUGAGAUUUUGAUAAAAAUAUUAAAAGUGGAAUUUAUUUAGCAGGCUUUGUGCUAUAUCGUGUGUUUCGUUAGAGAAACCGACAUAAUAUCUCAUAGAGGUACUCUGACGCAUUACAUUUAUCUGGGACAAAGGUCAACGGUUUCAAAGUAAUAUCUAAGAUUAACGAUUUUUUGUCGUUUAGAAGUUUCGAAAGGGUGUACGUUUCUAUUGGAUACGAGCGGAUGGUUUCUGAGACAUUUAAUUUGGUUUCUUUAUCUCUGUUAAGUGCACGGACACAACCGCACAGUCAGUGUUUUCUUGGAUACAGAAGCCAUCAAUGUGAAUGUGUUUAGUGAGUUAGGUAGUACACUGGGACAGAGUUUUGAUACACUUUGUAUCAUUUUUAUUCAGGAUGAUUCAAUUGUGUAAGUGCAUGGACAUACCACAUUCUGUGGAUAUAUAUUUUAAUGAAACAUCCUCACCCUGUAGUAUUUGCACAACGCCUUCGACCACAGCCAGUAGAACAUAUCUCUGGAACUAACUAAAAAGAAUUGAAUUGCAUGACAUCUUCCACCAUUUUCUCGCAUCAGGUUCUUCAAUGUUUUAUCAACAGAAGUAGGAAUUAUAAAAAUGCAUGAUUUUUGUCAUUUCUUGGUGACGACAUCGCAGGUGACGGCAUCGGUCAGAAACAUAAUUUGAUGGAAUUUAGUCUAACUGCUUAUGACAGAGGUAUGCGUGUUUAUGGAAUACGUGUGUAUGUGUCUUCUUCAGACAUAUAAACGAUGGUGUCUACUUGUAGCAGUAAGCACAAUGCCUAACUUUGUAGUUGUACCUCACUGGAAUAUCACGUCGUAGAUAUGUGACAUAAUACCCCACCCAGUCAUGUUAUACUGACACCUGGCUGAUCAAUUCUAGUACGACCAUCUUGUGUGAGAAAUUUACAUGAACCAUUUUUAUGUCUUUGGUAUGGUGCGGCCAAGAAGUGAACCAAGGACCUCCCACACUCGAAGCGGACGCUCUACCAAUACGCUGUCGAGGCGGCGUAUCCAUAGUACAUUUCAUAUACAUAAUCUUGUUAAUUUAAUGUUUACAUUUAACAUAUAUAAUUAAUUCUUCGCAUUUUCAAUUAUGAAAUUUGUGUCUAGAGUAACUUAAAACCACAUGCUUAAUUUUAUUUUUCUUCUGACAGUUCCAUAUACUUAAUCCUGUCAUGUUUUUGCUCAUAAAGCAGCAUUAAUUAGCAUGAAUAUCAAACUUGCCAGAUUUUUUUGUGAAAUAAAUGUUCCUGUAUGUAGUAAUAUCUUGCGGGUCAUAAAAAUGAAGUACUUACCAUAAAAUGAAGAUACAGCGAAAUGGUCAUUUAUCAUAAUGCAAAUCAUGUUCAUUUGAAAUUAAAAUAAAACCGCAAGCGCUACUACCUACUGGUGCGCAUCUUAAGAUAUGUACCGCCUCGGUAGCUGGUGGCAGAGCCGGGAUAUCAUCAGUUCGCUCCCUGGCCCCGUCAUACCAAAGACGUAAAAAAUGGUACUAGUAGCUUUCUCGCUUGGCGCUCAGCAUUAUGAAGAUAGUUCUAGGACUUGUCAGCCCGAUCAUGCCACGUGUCCACGGUGUGGUGUUCCAGUGAGGCAACCGUAAAAAGUUGGGCAUUGUGCUCACUGCUACAAGUAGACACCGUCGUUUAUAUGAUUGAAAAAAGAUAUUGAAAAAGACGCUAAACAAGUCAAACGCUAGGACGCACGCAGAAAAAUGCAAGUUUGUGUAGUUAUUCUGUGGUUCUACUCAUUCAAGUGCACUUGAGACAAUAAAAAUAUGACUAUUUACGAUUUCCGUUCUUUGAGCCAAAUGUCGAGUGGUUACGGUUGGCGGCGCCUCAAAACCAUUGCUUUGUGUGUAGAACAGUUUCUCUUUCAUGCGGAAUUCAUCCAGCUUCCUUACAGAAGAUCAGUAGUUCUAUCUAGGUGCACGCUCUGGCGGGCACCUGGGGUCUUUCUCCACCAUCAAAAAGAAGAAAAAUGUCAUCACUUGGCCUAUAAUUAUAUGACGUUAACCCAAACAAAAACAAAACAACUGAUUUUCGCGUCCAUCCAAAAUCUAAAAUACACAACAAUCAUUUACAUUUAUCUAUGAUUUUAUAUUAUAAUUUUCAUUGAAAGCAAAUGUUUUAACAGUUCUACGUUUCAACGAACGGUUUUAUGUAAAAAUGAGGAUUUUUAUUUUGCAAAGGAAUAAGGUUAAUAUAAAUAUUUUUCAAAGCACAACCCACAAACAUGUCAGCAUAAUAUGCGGCAUUUGUAAACAUGGAACCAUUUACUAUGAAUCCGUCAUACUUUUAAUGCUAGAUGAAUGUUUAAUUAGAAUC